Molecule: ribosomal RNA, 446 nt
Filed under: uncultured bacterium
Lineage: Bacteria
Description: bacterial SSU rRNA
Rfam family: Bacterial small subunit ribosomal RNA
Source: RNAcentral
AACCAGACUCCUACGGGAGGCAGCAGUGGGGAAUAUUGCACAAUGGGGGAAACCCUGAUGCAGCGACGCCGCGUGAAGGAUGAAGUAUUUCGGUAUGUAAACUUCUAUCAGCAGGGAAGAAAAUGACGGUACCUGACUAAGAAGCCCCGGCUAACUACGUGCCAGCAGCCGCGGUAAUACGUAGGGGGCAAGCGUUAUCCGGAUUUACUGGGUGUAAAGGGAGCGUAGACGGCAUGGCAAGUCUGAUGUGAAAACCCGGGGCUCAACCCCGGGACUGCAUUGGAAACUGUCAGGCUGGAGUGUCGGAGAGGCAAGUGGAAUUCCUAGUGUAGCGGUGAAAUGCGUAGAUAUCGGGAGGAACACCAGUGGCGAAGGCGGUUUACUGGACCACAACUGACGCUGAGACACGAAAGCGUGGGGAGCAAACAGGAUUAGAUACCCCGGUA